Molecule: ribosomal RNA, 99 nt
Filed under: Synergistaceae bacterium
Lineage: Bacteria; Thermotogati; Synergistota; Synergistia; Synergistales; Synergistaceae
Source: RNAcentral
AGGGGAUACACCCGGUCACAUGCCGAACCCGGCAGUUAAGCCCUCCAGCGCCGAUGGUACUACGGAGGGUAUUCGUGGGAGAGUAGGUCGCUGCCAGAU